This 441-nucleotide ribosomal RNA is filed under the name uncultured bacterium. RNAcentral's name for it is "partial 16S ribosomal RNA". It matches the Rfam family "Bacterial small subunit ribosomal RNA", at positions 338 to 795 of the family's 1533-position model. The record is from RNAcentral.
CCUACGGGAGGCAGCAGUGGGGGAUAUUGCACAAUGGGGGGAACCCUGAUGCAGCGACGCCGCGUGGGUGAAGGAGUAUUUCGGUAUGUAAAGCCCUAUCGGCAGGGAAGAAUUUAGACGGUACCUGACUAAGUAGCCCCGGCUAACUACGUGCCAGCAGCCGCGGUAAUACGUAGGGGGCAAGCGUUAUCCGGAUUCACUGGGUGUAAAGGGAGCGUAGACGGCCAGGCAAGCCUGGAGUGAAAGCCCGGGGCCCAACCCCGGGACUGCUCUGGGAACUGUCCGGCUGGAGUGCGGGAGGGGCAGGCGGAAUUCCUGGUGUAGCGGUGAAAUGCGUAGAUAUCAGGAGGAACACCAGUGGCGAAGGCGGCUUACUGGACUGUAACUGACGUUGAGGCUCGAAAGCGUGGGGAGCAAACAGGAUUAGAUACCCCAGUAGUC